UUCCUGGUGGCACAGUAGGUAAAGCACCUGCCUGUGAUGCAGGAGACCCAGGUUCGAUCCCUGGGUUGGGAA
Molecule: non-coding RNA, 72 nt
Organism: Bos taurus (domestic cattle)
Lineage: Eukaryota; Metazoa; Chordata; Mammalia; Artiodactyla; Bovidae
Source: Rfam